This 269-nucleotide ribosomal RNA is filed under the name uncultured prokaryote. RNAcentral's name for it is "partial 16S ribosomal RNA". It matches the Rfam family "Bacterial small subunit ribosomal RNA", at positions 524 to 792 of the family's 1533-position model. The record is from RNAcentral.
UACAGAGGUGGCGAGCGUUGUUCGGAUUUACUGGGCGUAAAGGGUGCGCAGGCGGUUCCGCAUGUCGGGUGUGAAAUCUCACCGUCCAUCGGUGAAACGGCACUCGAAACUGCGGGGCUAGAGUACGGGAGAGGAGAGCGGAAUUCUCGGUGUAGCGGUGAAAUGCGUAGAUAUCGAGAGGAACGCCGGUGGCGAAGGCGGCUCUCUGGAACGAUACUGACGCUGAGGCACGAAAGCUGGGGGAGCAAACAGGAUUAGAUACCCCGGUA